AUCAUACUAAAAAGUGCCAAUAUGAUAUUUCACAGGUAAGAAAGAAAAUAUUAGUUUAUCACAGAUGAUAGCAAAUUAUCACAUAGAUGUCAGAAACACUAAGCUAUCCACUGAAUGAAUGACCAAACAGAAAUCUUUAACUAGCUCACCACUCCCUCUUGCUUAGCAACCUCAUAACGGUUACAAGCAUAGAAACCACCUGUCCUCUCACCAUGAUCAGCCCAUGCACCUAGGCAUAGCCUGCA
Molecule: long non-coding RNA, 245 nt
Organism: Quercus robur (English oak)
Lineage: Eukaryota; Viridiplantae; Streptophyta; Magnoliopsida; Fagales; Fagaceae
Exons: 2
Source: RefSeq, a predicted model, not a curated record